RNAcentral lists this unclassified non-coding RNA (337 nucleotides) under soil metagenome. RNAcentral's name for it is "partial contains 5.8S ribosomal RNA, internal transcribed spacer 2, and large subunit ribosomal RNA". The stretch from base 2 to 121 matches the Rfam family "5.8S ribosomal RNA", at positions 35 to 154 of the family's 154-position model. The record is from RNAcentral.
UGAUGAAGAACGUAGCGAAAUGCGAUAAGUAGUGUGAAUUGCAGAAUUCAGUGAAUCAUCGAAUCUUUGAACGCACAUUGCGCCCCUUGGUAUUCCAUGGGGCAUGCCUGUUCGAGCGUCAUUUGUACCUUCAAGCUUUGCUUGGUGUUGGGUGUUUGUCUCGCCUUUGCGUGUAGACUCGCCUUAAAAUAAUUGGCAGCCGGCGUAUUGAUUUCGGAGCGCAGUACAUCUCGCGCUUUGCACUCAUAACGACAGCGUCCAAAAGUACAUUUUACACUCUUGACCUCGGAUCAGGUAGGGAUACCCGCUGAACUUAAGCAUAUCAAUAAGCGGAGGA